UACCUGCUGUGUUACCUGUAGUGUGGCUGUGUUACCUGUAGUGUGGCUGUGUAGGCUGCAGCUCCACCUGCUGGCUGGAGGAGCUCAGCAACAGUUCUUUAUCAGGACCCGGUCACACCAGAAACCAGCACUGUGAAAAUCAGUUUUUGUCAUGGUUCACAAACUGCGUCCCUCAGUCCAGUCUGACUUCCUGUCUGUGGCUCUCUGCUGCGAGCCCAUUGGUUCUUCAUAAUGAUGUAAGUUGCAUUAAACAUUAGAAGGUUUUAUUCAGGCUGUCAAACUGACUCAAACGGUCGGGAAAAAAUGAAAGAUAGAAGCUAAAAUCUACCGAUCACACAGUACAAGUGAACCAGUGCACCCCCGACAACGAUAUUAAGGAUCAACGCUGUUCCUGUACAGCUGCUCUAUUCACUAAUCAUUAAAAUGCAAAAGCAGCGGGUUUAUAUAACGUUGCAUUCAGUAGGAAGUUAGCCAGCGUUAGCUAACUAACAUCACAUUAGGAAUAAGCCAACUUUUUUCUGGAUUUGUUUCAGGUUUUGGAAAGAGAAUAAACCGUCCUUCUCCUUCCAGACUCUCUGGUAGCUGCUGUAAUUAUUACAAGAUGCUCCAGGAGCAGCGUUUGACCAGAUCUUAGAAACAUACAGCCAGAAAAAGCUAGAAAACAACUCUUUCUGCAUUCGAGUCACUGGAGCGCAGCCAUGAAAGAGUCGGAGCUCAGAGUGAGACCUAUACUGGGCUGUGAUUGGCCAGAAGUGUAUUUGGGGCGUGGCUUAGCGAAGCGAGGCAAUUGGCUCUGCCUACUCACGAAAUGACAGGCGCUGGCCCUUCCUACAGCUCGGGCAUGGUUGGCUACUGUAGGCUGUGGACGGGACACGUGAGCUCCUGUUGGGUCGAAUCAUGUGUCCAUUGAAAGGUCAAAUUUCAGUUUACAUCCAAACUCAAGUUAUUCCGGUUUUAAUUACAUAUUAGAUACGUCUGACACCUCAAGUCCACUGACUCCGGCUGCGCCGCGGUUGCCGGAGCUAAUCGCAGCCGUUAUAAUCGAUGCUUGUGAGUCCACCAGACGAGAAGCGUGUCUCCGCUCCGCAGAGAGGUACCAGGUCUAUUCUGGACGCAAGAGCAGAUCGAGCCCGGCAGGAAGUCAGACAAAACGCCCUGUUUCUGAAACGCUCCCUGAUGAUAUGCAGCCUGCAACCGACGGAGCGAAAUGUGGUCGCAGAGAGCCGUAAAGAAAUGUAGGAGCGCAAAAAAGGACAAAUUAAUAAUAAUCGACCGCCGGAUUACUGUGAGGCUUCAUAGGUGAGUCAUGUCAGGCCUGACAGAGGCGCUGAUGGUGGUCGCCGUGGCGAUUUUAUCAUGAAAUCGUUUCACUGGUCGAGUCAUAAGGAGCUCAGUUUUCCAGCAGCUGUGUGUAAUCUGGUGUGGCCGGGACUUUACUGCAUGAUGUUCAGUCUGUUCUGUUUCUGUCUGCAUGCAGCACUGAUAACAAUAAUAAUGAUAAUAAAAGUUUAGUUUCAUUGAUGUUUGAACGAGCAGGAGACGUAGAAUAGACGCUGUCGCCGCACGCUGCUUCCUGUUUCCUGACUUUACUAAACAGGAAGUGUUCUGAAGCUUCUCUCCUCCUCACUAACCUUCCAGCUGCUGGUGAGCCGACCAGCGCCACCCAACAAGCCACUCCCACCUGACCCCGUCACACCUGGACAGGUCUCUGUUCCAUCCAAACCUGUGGUGCCCAUCAAGCCCCGCCUCCUGCCCCCGCCGUGCCACCCCCACAUCCCCCCUCACCCCGGCUACCCAGCCAACACCAAACCGCCGCACCACGGAGCCGUCGCACCUGCAGCCGGUCCCAGCAGACGACCUCCUCCUGCUCCUCCGCUUCGACCCGCAAACCCUCACAAAGUCGACUCGUCCCCGCUGUAACUCGGCGUGGAGGACGUGAGUUUGUCUGACAAACUCUCGAACGUCAGUGACGAAGAUGAUGAUGACUUAAUUAUCCAGUUUGCACUCGGUCAUCGGAUUUCUCUCUGAACCCUGUAAAUAAAAGCUCAGUGCCUUGCUCAGCAGCGCCGAACUUCGACCGACGGCUGCCGGAGAUGAUGUCACAUUAAAGUGUCUUGGUGUCGACGAUGCGGCGCCCCCUGGAGCCAGCAGGGGGUCAGUGCCUUGCUCGAGGAACCUGGGACGGGAAUCAAACCUGUGUUUCUCAAAGUAAAGACUAAUUAGCAGAGUGGUUCCCAAACUGUGGUCCAGGGCCCUCUGCAGGACCCGGAACAGGCUCCUCUGGAAAUGAGAAAUCUUUUUUAGGCUCCAGAUGUUUUAGCAAAAUAACAUAUUUUCUUUUUUUCUUCAGUCCUGCAAAUCUUUUUUCGUGGAGUCGGAGUUCAGAGAUCUGAAACACGUGAACAGUCGAAGUUAAGACUUGAGAUUAAGGACGUGGAAGAUGAACAGCUGUCGGACCAAGUGGCGGCCGAAACCUGUCUGAGAUUUUUAAAAUGAAGUUGAAAAAUUGGAGAAAACAAUAUAUAAAUAUUUAUAUUUUAUUUUUUCAGAAUAAAGUUGUAACAUUUCGAUAAAGUACUUUCAAAAAGUGACAACAUUACAACUUUAUAAUCAGAAGAUUACAACCAAAAUAUUCCAGCUUUGUUCUCUACGAUCUUUGAGUUUUAAAAUUAUAAAUAUUUGGACUUUAUUCUUGAAAUCUCAGACUUGUUUUUGCCGCAGGGAUUGUAUUUUAGCUUUGCUCUAAAAUCUUAAAAUUCUUGUUGCUGGAUCGAAGGAAGCUCCUUCGCUGACGUGACAAACGCGUUCUGGAUUUUCUAACGAUGAGAUUCUUGUUGGACUUCAGGCUGGACGUGAACUGGAAGGAGUGCUGGAUCAGGUUUUUAUUUUUCUAACCCGCCUUGAGAUUUCUAUCGGAGACAGUCAGGAAUGUAACGAGUGUUCGUGACCUUACGCCAAAGACGAAUGAUGUAAAAGAUGCUGUAACAUUUAUCUGACCUCUCCUGCUGAAGGAAGAAGUUUGUAUUUGCCUUUUCCGGGUAGAGAUGGAGGACGCGUAGCUGAACUCUGUGAUCGGCUCAUUAGUGGAAGAGAAUAAGUGAGAAAGACAUAAUCAUAACAGGGCGGAACAAUUAUUCCAAAUCUUAUCAAUAUCGCAAUAUGGCUUUAUAAAUCGCAGGAGGUGCAGAAGGCUUUAUGUGUCAAUCUAGCUUUUCAAAUUAAAUAUCUUGCUGCAGCCUUCA
Long non-coding RNA from Micropterus salmoides (largemouth bass), 3242 nucleotides. RefSeq lists it as uncharacterized. The transcript has 3 exons. The record is from RefSeq and is a predicted model, not a curated record. Lineage: Eukaryota; Metazoa; Chordata; Actinopteri; Centrarchiformes; Centrarchidae.